GAAAAUGACCCCCAUAUUUGAGUGCAUAGUGAGCAGUUAGUGGAAUUGUUUGGGGAGGAUUAGAAAAUAUGGCCUUGUUGGAGUAGGUGUGGCUUUGUUGGAGAAGGAGUGUCACUGGGAGUAGGCUUUGAGGUUUCAAAACCCUAUGUGAGGUUCAGUCUCUCUCUUUCUGUCUGUUGCCUACAGAUUAGGAUGUAAAGCUCUCAGCUUCUGCUCCAGUGUCAUGCUGGUCUGUUUCCUGCCAUGGGGAUCAUGAACUAAACUAAGGACAUCAGUGAAGAUAAUGAGCCCGCUGUGACAGAAUGGGGCAGAGUGCAAGGAAAGGAAGAGUGGAACCCGGGGUCAGGAAUACCGAUGACAUGUGACUGGACAUCCGAGA
This 379-nucleotide long non-coding RNA is filed under the name Cricetulus griseus (Chinese hamster). RNAcentral's name for it is "lncRNA (ENSCGRG00015039704.1)". Lineage: Eukaryota; Metazoa; Chordata; Mammalia; Rodentia; Cricetidae. The record is from RNAcentral.